CUUGCGAGGAACUGAAUCCUACCAACAACCAGAGCAUGAACUUAGAAGCGGACCCGUCUCUAGAUGAGCCUUGAGAUGACUGCAGCCCCAGUGAACACCUUGACGGCAGCCUUGUGAGAGGUCCUGAGCCAGAGAACACUGCUAAGCCGCACCAGAUUCCUGACCCACAGACCUUACAAGAUAGAGAGGAUACUGCCUCCACCUCGCAGUCAGACAGACCCUGUACCAGCCCUAGAGGAAUAAGCUUGAAGUCAUUUCCAGGUAACCUUUGUCAUAUGAAAAUAUCACUGUCAUAUGAGAGGAUUUCUUCAGAAUCUGCUGGUCUUUGAAUAUCCAUUCAUAUUUAAGGGUGAGGUACUAAAAAG
Molecule: long non-coding RNA, 365 nt
Filed under: Equus asinus (donkey)
Lineage: Eukaryota; Metazoa; Chordata; Mammalia; Perissodactyla; Equidae
Description: lncRNA (ENSEASG00005029294.1)
Source: RNAcentral